Non-coding RNA from Marasmius sp. AFHP31, 95 nucleotides. Lineage: Eukaryota; Fungi; Basidiomycota; Agaricomycetes; Agaricales; Marasmiaceae. The record is from the annotation of a GenBank genome assembly.
GCCGGUUUAGCUUAGUGGUAGAGCGUUGCACUUGUAUUCACAAUCCUUGGUAUUGUACAAUGCAAAGGUCGGUUGUUCAAUCCAGCCAACCGGCA